Molecule: ribosomal RNA, 414 nt
Filed under: uncultured bacterium
Lineage: Bacteria
Description: bacterial SSU rRNA
Rfam family: Bacterial small subunit ribosomal RNA
Source: RNAcentral
UGAGGAAUAUUGGGCAAUGCCCGCAAGGGUGACCCAGCAACGCCGCGUGGAGGAUGAAUGUCGUAAGAUUGUAAACUCCUGUUAGAGGGGAAGAAUAGUACCGGUUGGACCGGUAUAUGACUGUACCCUCAGAGAAAGCCCCGGCUAACUACGUGCCAGCAGCCGCGGUAAUACGUAGGGGGCAAGCGUUGUCCGGAUUUACUGGGUGUAAAGGGCGCGCAGGCGGGAUAAAAAGUCAGUGGUGAAAUCCUACAGCUUAACUGUAGAACUGCCUUUGAUACUGUUAUUCUUGAGUUCGGGAGAGAGAGACGGAAUUCCAGGUGUAGUGGUGAAAUACGUAGAUAUCUGGAAGAACACCAGUUGCGAAGGCGGUCUCUUGGUCCGACACUGACGCUGAGGCGCGAAAGCGUGGGG